RNAcentral lists this ribosomal RNA (345 nucleotides) under uncultured bacterium. RNAcentral's name for it is "partial 16S ribosomal RNA". It matches the Rfam family "Bacterial small subunit ribosomal RNA", at positions 338 to 682 of the family's 1533-position model. The record is from RNAcentral.
CCUACGGUAGACAGCAGUGGGGAAUAUUGCACAAUGGGGGAAACCCUGAUGCAGCGACGCCGCGUGAGUGAAGAAGUAAUUCGUUACGUAAAGCUCUAUCAGCAGGGAAGAAAUACUGACCUUACGGGCAGCAUACGGUACCUGCGGAAGAAGCCCCGGCGAACUACGUGCCAGCAGCCGCGGUAAUACGUAGGGGGCAAGCGUUAUCCGGAUUUACUGGGUGGAAAGGGAGCGUAGACGGUGCGCCAAGUCUGGAGUGAAAGGCCGCAGCUUAACUGCGGAACUGCUGUGGAAACUGGCGAACUAGAGUGCGGGAGGGGUAAGCGUAAUUCCUAGUGUAGCUGU